AGUGAACGCUGGCGGUAGGCCUAACACAUGCAAGUCGAACGGCAGCACAGUAAGAGCUUGCUCUUACGGGUGGCGAGUGGCGGACGGGUGAGGAAUACAUCGGAAUCUACUUUUUCGUGGGGGAUAACGUAGGGAAACUUACGCUAAUACCGCAUACGACCUACGGGUGAAAGCAGGGGAUCUUCGGACCUUGCGCGAUUGAAUGAGCCGAUGUCGGAUUAGCUAGUUGGAGGGGUAAAGGCCCACCAAGGCGACGAUCCGUAGCUGGUCUGAGAGGAUGAUCAGCCACACUGGAACUGAGACACGGUCCAGACUCCUACGGGAGGCAGCAGUGGGGAAUAUUGGACCAUGGGCGCAAGCCUGAUCCAGCCAUACCGAGUGGGUGAAGAAGGCCUUCGGGUUGUAAAGCGCUUUUGUUGGGAAAGAAAAGCAGCAGGUUAAUACCCCGCUGUUCUGACGGUACCCAAAGAAUAAGCACCGGCUAGCUUCGUG
RNAcentral lists this ribosomal RNA (492 nucleotides) under uncultured bacterium. RNAcentral describes it as "partial 16S ribosomal RNA". It matches the Rfam family "Bacterial small subunit ribosomal RNA", at positions 29 to 507 of the family's 1533-position model. The record is from RNAcentral.